RNAcentral lists this ribosomal RNA (315 nucleotides) under Triticum aestivum (bread wheat). Its description in RNAcentral is "partial small subunit ribosomal RNA". Lineage: Eukaryota; Viridiplantae; Streptophyta; Magnoliopsida; Poales; Poaceae. The record is from RNAcentral.
AUGGACUACAAUUUGACCUUUGCAAUGGUUCAUGGGCAAGGAUAUGAUGGAGCUAGUAAUAUGAGAGGUAAUGCUAAUGGCUUGGAAAAACUUAUUAUGGAUGAGUCCCCUUCUGCCUACUAUGUUCAUUGUUUCGCCCAUCAAUUACAGUUAACUCUUGUUGCUGUUGCUAAGGAGAGUGGUGAUUGUACUUGGUUCUUUCAUCAGCUUGCACACUUGUUAAAUGCUCUUGGCAUGUCUUGUAAAAAGAUGAGAAUGCUUCGGAUAGCUCAGGCUGAAGAACUCAUUGAUGCACUGGAAUUGGAAGAAGUAGAA